Molecule: long non-coding RNA, 1436 nt
Filed under: Bos indicus x Bos taurus (hybrid cattle)
Lineage: Eukaryota; Metazoa; Chordata; Mammalia; Artiodactyla; Bovidae
Description: lncRNA (ENSBIXG00000020257.1)
Source: RNAcentral
GGAAGGGCAAUCAAGUCUACAGUGGUUCCCUCAGUGUAGCCACAAUCACCCACUUCUGCCCGUCAAAGAAAACACUACUGAGACACGUGGUCCAGACGUAUCAGCCUUAUUCAAGGGAGGGCUCCUGAUGGAAGUCACAGUUCGCAAAAGGGCAAGUUCCCUCAAAGACAGGUAAUAUUUUUGGAGUAACAGGAAGGGGGAAAUACAAUGUCCUAAUAAUCACGCCCAACAGAACCUAACCAAACCUUUCCAGCAGUUGGACUGGGCCAGCCUUGGCACAAAUAAGUACACAGGUGACUUUAGAUGCUGCAGUUGAUUUCAAACAGGUGUCUCUGAUUUCUUCCCCGACACAGUCUGGAUAACGUGGGGUCAGUAUGUGUUGUGUAGAAUAGAGACAAGGACAGUCACUGAGUGGUAUUCUGUUGAAGAAUCAGGGAACCCUUCCACUCUCCCUUUCAGCUCUUUCAAACCUUCCCUUUUCCAAGUGGCCCUUCCCGCCAAAGGAGUCUCAAAAAGGCGACCUGUUGUAGUAGCCUCCAAGGUGCGGUCCCAGCCGCUGCCCCACGUCUCCUGGGGAGUCCGGUGGCCGCCUCGACUCCUCGGGCCGUAUAUUUGCAGAGACGAGGUGCUGGGCGGUGGGCCGGACUGCGGGGGGCCGUUAGUAUAGAUCCUCCUUCCCCGCGUCUACGAGCACCCCCCGGGUUCUGCCGAAAGCGCUCGCCCAAUCUCCCCUUUACUCUCUUUUCAAGUUCAGCUCAGGUACAGUGUGACAGUUACAGCGCCCGGGAGCUGGCAGGCGCCGCCGCUGCCGCGGCAGCAGCAUCUGCUUCCGCGCAGAACGCGCUUCUCCCGCGGUACAUACCUGGUAAAGUGCGCGCCGGGGCUGAGUUGCAUAGAGACUUUCUCCUCGUCGUGCACCCGGAAAGGGCUCCCGAGAAAGCAGCUCGCGAACAGCCUAAGCCGACGCGCCGAUGGGAGCAUAAAUAAAGCUCAAGCGAGCUCUUCUUCCCCUUCCCCCAUCCCUCCGUGCCUCCCUCCUCCUUUUCACCUUCCAAAAGCCAGGAGCAGGCGAGCCGAGCAGCAGCAACAAGUUCAAAAGAAAUUCCUGUUUUUCCUCCUUGUAUUACAUUUUACAUACUGUGCUUGGCUGACAGAAAAUAAACUCAGCGAAAUCAAAAUUGAAUUCAUCACUUUUCUUCUUGAGUCAGCUACUCCUGUUUUCUCUCCUUGGAGAAAUAAAACCUGACACACUACGAAGAUGCAGGGGACAUGAGAAAGUCACAGCACAGGUAAAGCUUGAGCUGCCAUCUUGGUGUAGCCAGCACUCCAUCCAUCUCACAAUCUGAAGUCAGAAGUCUUGAGUUGGAGGUAAGCUUGAUAUAUGAACUUUUAAUGUAAGGAAUCACUUUUAGCAGUCUUUGUACAUGACAUAUACA